AAUCUUUUUUUUGCCGCCCUAUGAGCCUAUAUUGAGUCUGCUGGCGCAAGCCAGCUAUGGCGAUAAACGGGCGACGUAAUAAGCUUCUCGGACCCGGGGGCGGUACCCGGCGCCUCCACCAGGUUUCAGUUGGUCAUGAGUUUGACUUCGACGAAGUGCCGGACGACUGAAACGUGGCGGGGGCGAAAUAGGAUCGACGAGGGUGUAAAGGUCGUGCUUUUGCCCGGCAUGGUAUCCGCCGUUAUCGGGCCAACCAUAUAGUUGCAAAUGAUAACAACUAUGCGGAGGCUCGUCUCGCUGCGUAGUCAGCGCGAUGGCCUAAAGUUAAAGUCCUUUCCCCUUCGCAGGGGUUAGGCGCGGUUUCGGAGGGCACCGGGCAACAGAAGCCCUCCACU
RNAcentral lists this transfer-messenger RNA (395 nucleotides) under Methyloceanibacter sp. It matches the Rfam family "Alphaproteobacteria transfer-messenger RNA". Rfam says of the family: Bacterial tmRNA, also known as 10Sa RNA or SsrA, is named for its dual tRNA and mRNA-like properties. Lineage: Bacteria; Pseudomonadati; Pseudomonadota; Alphaproteobacteria; Hyphomicrobiales; Hyphomicrobiaceae. The record is from RNAcentral.